RNAcentral lists this ribosomal RNA (468 nucleotides) under uncultured bacterium. RNAcentral describes it as "partial 16S ribosomal RNA". It matches the Rfam family "Bacterial small subunit ribosomal RNA", at positions 28 to 507 of the family's 1533-position model. The record is from RNAcentral.
GACGAACGCUGGCGGCGUGCUUAACACAUGCAAGUCGAACGGAAAGGCCCUGCUUUUGUGGGGUGCUCGAUUGGCGAACGGGUGAGUAACACGUGAGUAACCUGCCCUUGACUGUGGGAUAACUUCAGGAAACUGGGGCUAUUAUCGGAUAGGAGCUCCUGCUGCAUGUGGUGGGUUGGAGAGUUUCGGCGGUUGUGGAUGUACUCGCGGCUUAUCAGCUUGUUGGUGUGGUAGUUGCUUACCAAGGCUAUGACGGGUAGCCGGCCUGAGAGGGUGACCGGCCACAUUGGGACUGAGAUACGGCCCAGACUCCUACGGGAGGCAGCAGUGGGGAGUAUUGCACAAUGGGCGGAAGCCUGAUGCAGCAACGCCGCGUGCGGGAUGACGGCCUUCGGGUUGUAAACCGCUUUCGCCUGUGACGAGGCGUGAGUGACGGUAAUGGGUAAAGAAGCACCGGCUAACUACGUG